Molecule: transfer RNA, 77 nt
Filed under: Hyphomicrobiales bacterium
Lineage: Bacteria; Pseudomonadati; Pseudomonadota; Alphaproteobacteria; Hyphomicrobiales
Also listed under: 2 other names
Description: tRNA-Arg
Rfam family: tRNA
About the family: Transfer RNA (tRNA) molecules are approximately 80 nucleotides in length. Their secondary structure includes four short double-helical elements and three loops (D, anti-codon, and T loops). Further hydrogen bonds mediate the characteristic L-shaped molecular structure. tRNAs have two regions of fundamental functional importance: the anti-codon, which is responsible for specific mRNA codon recognition, and the 3' end, to which the tRNAs corresponding amino acid is attached (by aminoacyl-tRNA synthetases). tRNAs cope with the degeneracy of the genetic code in two manners: having more than one tRNA (with a specific anti-codon) for a particular amino acid; and 'wobble' base-pairing, i.e. permitting non-standard base-pairing at the 3rd anti-codon position.
Source: RNAcentral
GCACCCGUAGCUCAGCCGGAUAGAGCAUCCGCCUUCUAAGCGGAGGGUCGCAGGUUCGAGUCCUGCCGGGUGCGCCA